GAUGAACGCUGGCGGCGUGCCUAAUACAUGCAAGUCGAGCGAACGGACGAGAAGCUUGCUUCUCUGAUGUUAUCGGCGGACGGGUGAGUAACACGUGGAUAACCUACCUAUAAGACUGGGAUAACUUCGGGAAACCGGAGCUAAUACCGGAUAAUAUUUUGAACCGCAUGGUUCAAAAGUGAAAGACGGUCUUGCUGUCACUUAUAGAUGGAUCCGCGCUGCAUUAGCUAGUUGGUAAGGUAACGGCUUACCAAGGCAACGAUGCAUAGCCGACCUGAGAGGGUGAUCGGCCACACUGGAACUGAGACACGGUCCAGACUCCUACGGGAGGCAGCAGUAGGGAAUCUUCCGCAAUGGGCGAAAGCCUGACGGAGCAACGCCGCGUGAGUGAUGAAGGUCUUCGGAUCGUAAAACUCUGUUAUUAGGGAAGAACAUAUGUGUAAGUAACUGUGCACAUCUUGACGGUACCUAAUCAGAAAGCCACGGCUAACUAAGUG
This 497-nucleotide ribosomal RNA is filed under the name uncultured bacterium. Its description in RNAcentral is "partial 16S ribosomal RNA". It matches the Rfam family "Bacterial small subunit ribosomal RNA", at positions 28 to 507 of the family's 1533-position model. The record is from RNAcentral.